RNAcentral lists this ribosomal RNA (420 nucleotides) under uncultured bacterium. RNAcentral's name for it is "bacterial SSU rRNA". It matches the Rfam family "Bacterial small subunit ribosomal RNA", at positions 68 to 507 of the family's 1533-position model. The record is from RNAcentral.
GGUGACCCAGGGCUUGCCCUGGUGAUCAGUGGCGAACGGGUGAGUAACACUGGGCAACCUGCCCUGACUCGGGGUAACUCCUCGAAAGAGGAGCUAAUACCGGAUACGACCACUUCGGACAUCCGAUGGUGGUGGAAAGUUUUCGGUCAGGGAUGGGCCCGCGGCCUAUCAGCUAGUUGGUGGGGUAAUGGCCUACCAAGGCGACGACGGGUAGCCGGCCUGAGACGGGCGACCGGCCACACUGGGACUGAGACACGGCCCAGACUCCUACGGGAGGCAGCAGUGGGAAUAUUGCGCAAUGGCGAAAGCCUGACGCAGCGACGCCGCGUGAGGGAUGAAGGCCUUCGGGUUGUAACCUCUUUCAGCAGGGACGAAGCGAAAGUGACGGUACCUGCAGAAGAAGCACCGGCUAACUACGUG